CACAUACGGGAAGCGCAAGGUCUGGGCUGCGGCAAGAUGCCGGCUCAGAAGACGAGGUGAAGGUGAGCGAGUUUCUGCGGAUGCCUUCCGGUGGCGGCACCCACCGACCCGGCCCCACGGUCUGAC
This 126-nucleotide non-coding RNA is filed under the name Deinococcus proteolyticus. RNAcentral's name for it is "GlcN6P sequence". It matches the Rfam family "glmS glucosamine-6-phosphate activated ribozyme aptamer". From Rfam's summary of the family: This entry contains a glucosamine-6-phosphate activated ribozyme that is found in the mRNA for GlmS. GlmS is an enzyme that uses fructose-6-phosphate and glutamine to generate glucosamine-6-phosphate. The record is from RNAcentral. RNAcentral also lists the same sequence under 1 other name. Lineage: Bacteria; Thermotogati; Deinococcota; Deinococci; Deinococcales; Deinococcaceae.